CUGAGUCUGUGCCUACCCGACCCAGAGGAGCCCAGCAUGGCCCACGCUCUGCUCCUCGCAGCGUCUGCCCUGUUCUGCCUCGUGCUGGGAGGCAGCAAUCUGCGUUGCAGACAAUGUGCCCUGAACGAGCCCUACAUCGGUUGCCUCCCCGGAGUCUCUGAGUGCACCCCUAAGGCCGGGCAUCCAUGCAUGACUGUCAACAUCGGCUAUAGAGGUGAGGUGCAGUUCCUCCUCCAGGGCUGCAUCAUGAAUCCCAGCCGCUGCGGGAUGGUGAAGGAGUUGAUGGUUCCCGAGUACCACAUCAACAUCACCUGCUGCUCCCACGCCUCCUUCUGCAACGAGUGGGUCCCGCUGCCCCCUGGCAAGGGAGGGCACUGAGUCUGGCCUGCCGCCUGCCGCCUACCACCCUCUUCCAUCCCUGUCUGUCCUCCGUCCCGGUCCCCAUCCCUCCUCCCCCUCCUGCAGUUCUCCAGCCAUCUUAUUCC
This 485-nucleotide long non-coding RNA is filed under the name Chrysemys picta bellii (western painted turtle). RNAcentral describes it as "lncRNA (ENSCPBG00000018814.1)". Lineage: Eukaryota; Metazoa; Chordata; Testudines; Emydidae. The record is from RNAcentral.